CCUACGGGAGGCAGCAGUGGGGGAUAUUGCACAAUGGGGGAAACCCUGAUGCAGCGACGCCGCGUGGGGGAAGACGGUCCUCUGGAUUGUAAACCACUGUCCCCAGGGACGAAGAUGACGGUACCGGGGGAGGAAGCUCCGGCUAACUACGUGCCAGCAGCCGCGGUAAGACGGAGGGAGCGAGCGUUGUCCGGAAUUACGGGGGGGAAAGGGAGCGGAGGCGGGACUGCCAGUUGGGUGUCCAAUCUACCGGCUCAACCGGUAGCCGCACUCAAAACUGCAGUUCUUGAGUGAAGUAGAGGCCGGCGUACUUCCUCGUGUAGCGGUCAAAUGCGUAGUUAUUAGGAG
This 348-nucleotide ribosomal RNA is filed under the name uncultured bacterium. RNAcentral's name for it is "partial 16S ribosomal RNA". It matches the Rfam family "Bacterial small subunit ribosomal RNA", at positions 338 to 703 of the family's 1533-position model. The record is from RNAcentral.